GACGAACGCUGGCGGCGUGCUUAACACAUGCAAGUCGAACGGAAAGGCCCUGCUUUUGUGGGGUGCUCGAGUGGCGAACGGGUGAGUAACACGUGAGUAACCUGCCCUUGACUUUGGGAUAACUUCAGGAAACUGGGGCUAAUACCGGAUAGGAGCUCCUGCUGCAUGGUGGGGGUUGGAAAGUUUCGGCGGUUGGGGAUGGACUCGCGGCUUACCAGCUUGUUGGUGGGGUAGUGGCUUACCAAGGCUUUGACGGGUAGCCGGCCUGAGAGGGUGACCGGCCACAUUGGGACUGAGAUACGGCCCAGACUCCUACGGGAGGCAGCAGUGGGGAAUAUUGCACAAUGGGCGGAAGCCUGAUGCAGCAACGCCGCGUGCGGGAUGACGGCCUUCGGGUUGUAAACCGCUUUCGCCUGUGACGAAGCGUGAGUGACGGUAAUGGGUAAAGAAGCACCGGCUAACUACGU
Molecule: ribosomal RNA, 467 nt
Filed under: uncultured bacterium
Lineage: Bacteria
Description: partial 16S ribosomal RNA
Rfam family: Bacterial small subunit ribosomal RNA
Source: RNAcentral